GAUGAACGCUGGCGGCGUGCCUAAUACAUGCAAGUAGAACGCUGAAGGAGGAGCUUGCUCUUCUGGAUGAGUUGCGAACGGGUGAGUAACGCGUAGGUAACCUGCCUGGUAGCGGGGGAUAACUAUUGGAAACGAUAGCUAAUACCGCAUGACAACAGUUAUUGCAUGAUAACUGUUUAAAAGGGGCAACUGCUCCACUACCAGAUGGACCUGCGUUGUAUUAGCUAGUUUGUGAGGUAACGGCUCACCAAGGCGACGAUACAUAGCCGACCUGAGAGUGUGAUCGGCCACACUGGGACUGAGACACGGCCCAGACUCCUACGGGAGGCAGCAGUAGGGAAUCUUCGGCAAUGGACGGAAGUCUGACCGAGCAACGCCGCGUGAGUGAAGAAGGUUUUCGGAUCGUAAAGCUCUGUUGUAAGAGAAGAACGAGUGUGAGAGUGGAAAGUUCACACUGUGACGGUAUCUUACCAGAAAGGGACGGCUAACUACGUG
RNAcentral lists this ribosomal RNA (495 nucleotides) under uncultured bacterium. RNAcentral's name for it is "partial 16S ribosomal RNA". It matches the Rfam family "Bacterial small subunit ribosomal RNA", at positions 28 to 507 of the family's 1533-position model. The record is from RNAcentral.